Long non-coding RNA from Acipenser ruthenus (sterlet), 1003 nucleotides. RefSeq lists it as uncharacterized. The transcript has 3 exons. The record is from RefSeq and is a predicted model, not a curated record. Lineage: Eukaryota; Metazoa; Chordata; Actinopteri; Acipenseriformes; Acipenseridae.
CAUUUAAGUAAUUAAGGACCUGGUUGUAACAAGUUUCUGCACUGAAAUGUAGUUAAAGAGUCACAAGUUCUCUGGGGGUGCCUCUCCGCCCCAGCUUUGGAAGUCUAUAAUUCACCUCAUCGAGGGUUAGCUCUCAACGAGCCAGAGUUCCACUUUCUUUCUUCCUUUCAGGUUCUGCCGUGGCUUGGUCCUAAUGGUGGGCGGCUCUCCGAGAAGUCAGGGUUCGCUGUUGCGCGAUGAGGAGAAGCAAUCCCUGCCAGUUUCUCAUCCCCCACCCUGGGAGCGUCAAAGCCAAUGUGACACCCCCUUCAGAGUCCGCAGGAAAGGUCAGCCUCUUUUCACAGCCCGGACACGAACUGGCACCGUCCAAGCUGUAUGACUCAUCCUGCGCUACCAGAGGCCGUGCUUUUAUCACCUUAUUUACCAUAGCUGUCGUCUACAUUUUUUUCUGUUAAAUAGGAUCAAACCCAGUCCAAAUGAUCCUAUGAUUUUUUUUUCAACUGAAUUGGUAAUCAUUAAGAAGAAAAGUACAAUUAUUACAAAAAAAAAAUACAAAUAUUAAUUGCUGGUUGAAUUUGGUAAAAAAAAAAAAAAAAAAAAUUGGUAAGGUUCUUGGUUUAGCUUUGUGCACACCCCAGUUUGUUCUCCAAUGGAAUACAGAACGCUUUUUUUUCUGAUUGGGAAAACAAUUGAGAAUCAUUCCAAAUUUACAAUCAAUCGUACCAUUUUGCACCAUAGAAAGGCAUCUUUAUGUAGCCAUAUUUAACAACUUGAAAUGUAAUUUAGAGAUACUGUCUGCUCUAGUAAAGUACACAAUCACAAUUGCAGCUAAACAGAGCAAGUUACACAUGCUUUUUUUUAAAAAAUACAGUAUAUGGAAAAAAACCUGUAAUGCUCCUUUCAAUGUCUGUAUUGCUUCCUGAAUUAUACCAGUGCAUACAGAUGAUAAAACUGCCUGCUGAUGGUGUGUCUGUUUGGCUCACAAAUAAACAUGUGUCAAUGU